UUUAACUUGGCAGAUUUAAUGCACCUGAUUUAGGAUCAGCACAUAGCCAUUUUGGCUAGUUGGAA
Molecule: transfer RNA, 65 nt
Filed under: Pyramidella dolabrata (giant Atlantic pyram)
Lineage: Eukaryota; Metazoa; Mollusca; Gastropoda; Pyramidellidae
Description: tRNA-Leu
Source: RNAcentral